GCCUGGCUGGCUCAGUAAAUAGAGCAUGAGACUCUUGAACUCAAGGUCGUAGGUUUGAGUCCCACACUGGGUG
This 73-nucleotide transfer RNA is filed under the name Canis lupus familiaris (dog). It matches the Rfam family "tRNA". Rfam says of the family: Transfer RNA (tRNA) molecules are approximately 80 nucleotides in length. Their secondary structure includes four short double-helical elements and three loops (D, anti-codon, and T loops). Further hydrogen bonds mediate the characteristic L-shaped molecular structure. tRNAs have two regions of fundamental functional importance: the anti-codon, which is responsible for specific mRNA codon recognition, and the 3' end, to which the tRNAs corresponding amino acid is attached (by aminoacyl-tRNA synthetases). tRNAs cope with the degeneracy of the genetic code in two manners: having more than one tRNA (with a specific anti-codon) for a particular amino acid; and 'wobble' base-pairing, i.e. permitting non-standard base-pairing at the 3rd anti-codon position. RNAcentral also lists the same sequence under 1 other name. The record is from Rfam by way of RNAcentral. Lineage: Eukaryota; Metazoa; Chordata; Mammalia; Carnivora; Canidae.